RNAcentral lists this ribosomal RNA (805 nucleotides) under Dothidotthia sp. CS-2019a. Its description in RNAcentral is "partial large subunit ribosomal RNA". It matches the Rfam family "Eukaryotic large subunit ribosomal RNA", at positions 88 to 909 of the family's 3401-position model. The record is from RNAcentral. Lineage: Eukaryota; Fungi; Ascomycota; Dothideomycetes; Pleosporales; Dothidotthiaceae.
GGCGAGUGAAGCGGCAACAGCUCAAAUUUGAAAUCUGGCCUCUUUGGGGUCCGAGUUGUAAUUUGCAGAGGGCGCUUUGGUGUCGGCAGCGGUCCAAGUUCCUUGGAACAGGACGUCACAGAGGGUGAGAAUCCCGUACGUGGUCGCUAGCCUUCACCGUGUAAAGCCCCUUCGACGAGUCGAGUUGUUUGGGAAUGCAGCUCUAAAUGGGAGGUAAAUUUCUUCUAAAGCUAAAUACUGGCCAGAGACCGAUAGCGCACAAGUAGAGUGAUCGAAAGAUGAAAAGCACUUUGGAAAGAGAGUCAAACAGCACGUGAAAUUGUUGAAAGGGAAGCGCUUGCAGCCAGACUUGCCUGUAGUUGCUCAUCCGGACUUUUGUCCGGUGCACUCUUCUAUAGGCAGGCCAGCAUCAGUUUGGGCGGUUGGAUAAAGGUCUCUGUCAUGUACCUCUCUUCGGGGAGGACUUAUAGGGGAGACGACAUGCAACCAGCCCCGACUGAGGUCCGCGCAUUUAUGCUAGGAUGCUGGCGUAAUGGCUGUAAGCGGCCCGUCUUGAAACACGGACCAAGGAGUCUAACAUCUAUGCGAGUGUUUGGGUGUCAAGCCCGAGCGCGCAAUGAAAGUGAACGGAGGUGGGAACCCCUCGGGGCGCACCAUCGACCGAUCCUGAUGUCUUCGGAUGGAUUUGAGUAAGAGCAUAGCUGUUGGGACCCGAAAGAUGGUGAACUAUGCUUGAAUAGGGUGAAGCCAGAGGAAACUCUGGUGGAGGCUCGCAGCGGUUCUGACGUGCAAAUCGAUCGUCAAA